AUUGAACGCUGGCGGCAGGCUUAACACAUGCAAGUCGAACGAGUGGCGGACGGGUGAGUAAUGUCUGGGAAACUGCCUUAUGGAGGGGGAUAACUACUGGAAACGGUAGCUAAUACCGCGUACCAUCAGAUGAGCCCAAGUGGGAUUAGGUAGUUGGUGGGGUAACGGCUCACCAAGCCGACGAUCCCUAGCUGGUCUGAGAGGAUGACCAGCCACACUGGGACUGAGACACGGCCCAGACUCCUACGGGAGGCAGCAGUGGGGAAUAUUGCGCAAUGGGGGCAACCCUGACGCAGCCAUGCCGCGUGAAUGAAGAAGGCCUUCGGGUUGUAAAGUACUUUCGGUAGCGAGGCGUUAACUACAGAAGAAGCACCGGCUAACUCCGUGCCAGCAGCCGCGGUAAUAC
This 406-nucleotide ribosomal RNA is filed under the name uncultured bacterium. RNAcentral's name for it is "partial 16S ribosomal RNA". It matches the Rfam family "Bacterial small subunit ribosomal RNA", at positions 30 to 526 of the family's 1533-position model. The record is from RNAcentral.